This 308-nucleotide small nuclear RNA is filed under the name Chinchilla lanigera (long-tailed chinchilla). RNAcentral describes it as "7SK RNA (ENSCLAG00000021542.1)". It matches the Rfam family "7SK RNA". Rfam says of the family: 7SK was discovered as an abundant small nuclear RNA in the mid-70s but a possible function has only recently been suggested. Two independent studies have found that 7SK RNA binds the CDK9/cyclin T complex (known as elongation factor P-TEFb). Lineage: Eukaryota; Metazoa; Chordata; Mammalia; Rodentia; Chinchillidae. The record is from RNAcentral.
GGAUGUGAGAGCAAUCUGGCUGUGACAUCGGUCACCCCAUUGAUCCCCAGGAUUGAUUCAGCUGAUCUGGCUGGCCAGGUGGGUGUCACCUUCCUCCCUCAAUGCUCCACGUGUGUCCCUCCUGAAGCUGUACUCUUGGUCAAGGAGGACAACCACCCCUGAUAGAGGAAGACCAUUCCUUAUUCAAGGGUAUAUGAGUAGCUGUGUUCCCAUGCUCGAACUUCCAAACAAGCUCUCAAGGUUUAGAGAUACUUAAAAUAUUUAAUUCUACAUUAAUUAGUUUUCCCAUUGCUUGGAGGAAAUACCUG